Molecule: ribosomal RNA, 482 nt
Filed under: uncultured bacterium
Lineage: Bacteria
Description: partial 16S ribosomal RNA
Rfam family: Bacterial small subunit ribosomal RNA
Source: RNAcentral
AUUGAACGCUGGCGGCAUGCCUUACACAUGCAAGUCGAACGGUAACGGGCCUUCGGGUGCCGACGAGUGGCGAACGGGUGAGUAAUACAUCGGAACGUGCCCGAUCGUGGGGGAUAACGAGGCGAAAGCUUUGCUAAUACCGCAUACGAUCUACGGAUGAAAGCAGGGGACCGCAAGGCCUUGCGCGGACGGAGCGGCCGAUGGCAGACUAGGUAGUUGGUGGGAUAAAAGCUUACCAAGCCGACGAUCUGUAGCUGGUCUGAGAGGAUGAUCAGCCACACUGGGACUGAGACACGGCCCAGACUCCUACGGGAGGCAGCAGUGGGGAAUUUUGGACAAUGGGCGCAAGCCUGAUCCAGCCAUGCCGCGUGCAGGAUGAAGGCCUUCGGGUGGUAAACUGCUUUUGUACGGAACGAAAAGCCUUCUUUUAAUACAGGAGGGUCAUGACGGUACCGUAAGAAUAAGCACCGGCUAACUACGUG